UUCAGGUUAUUGCGGAGGUGAUGGAGGCAUCCAUUGAGGAUUAUGAGGAGGGCCUGUGGGCUUGCGCUAAUGCUGCUAAGAUCUAGAUGCAGAUUCCAGCACCUCAAAGAGGAGAGAUUGUUAGACAGAUUGACGAAGCACUAAGAACGAAGUUGUACUACCUUGGUAGACUUGUCUCCCUUGAGAUGGGGAAGAUACUUCCUGAAGGGAUCGGGGAAGUUCAAACAUUGAUACGCGAAGAGGAGGAAGAAGCACUACUUGAUCAGAAUAUGGAGGAUUAAGAUGCAGAAUAUAGAAAAAUAAAAGUCCAUGGCUGCAUAUAUCAAGAGAAAGGUUUGUUCUGCCUUGGUGCAACUUAUAGAAGUUCGACCAUCAUUCCUAGAGUGUCUUUUCAGAUAUUUUGAAGGUGAAUGGAGGUAUU
Zingiber officinale is the source of this 421-nucleotide long non-coding RNA. RefSeq lists it as uncharacterized. The record is from RefSeq and is a predicted model, not a curated record. NCBI's taxonomy places the organism in Eukaryota, Viridiplantae, Streptophyta, Magnoliopsida, Zingiberales, Zingiberaceae. The transcript is spliced from 5 exons.